This 465-nucleotide ribosomal RNA is filed under the name uncultured bacterium. RNAcentral describes it as "partial 16S ribosomal RNA". It matches the Rfam family "Bacterial small subunit ribosomal RNA", at positions 28 to 507 of the family's 1533-position model. The record is from RNAcentral.
GACGAACGCUGGCGGCGUGCUUAACACAUGCAAGUCGAACGGAAAGGCCCUGCUUGCAGGGUACUCGAGUGGCGAACGGGCGAGUAACACGUGGGUGAUCUGCCCUACACUUCGGGAUAAGCCUGGGAAACUGGGUCUAAUACCGGAUAUGACCUUCCAUGUAGUGUGGGGGGUGGAAAGAUUUAUCGGUGUGGGAUGAGCCCGCGGCCUAUCAGCUUGUUGGUGGGGUAAUGGCCUACCAAGGCGUCGACGGGUAGCCGGCCUGAGAGGGUGGACGGCCACAUUGGGACUGAGCUACGGCCCAGACUCCUACGGGAGGCAGCGGUGCAGAAUAUUGCACAAUGGGCUGAAGCCUUAUGCAGCGACGCCGCGUGGGGGAUGACGGCCUUCGGGUUGUAAACCUCUUUCGACAGGGACGAAGCUUCGGUGACGGUACCUGUAGAAGAAGCACCGGCUAACUACGUG